GAGUUUGAUCUUGGCUCAGAUUGAACGCUGGCGGCAUGCCUUACACAUGCAAGUCGAACGGCAGCACGGGAGCUUGCUCCUGGUGGCGAGUGGCGAACGGGUGAGUAAUGCAUCGGAACGUAUCCUGGAGUGGGGGAUAACGUAGCGAAAGUUACGCUAAUACCGCAUAUUCUGUGAGCAGGAAAGCGGGGGACCUUCGGGCCUCGCGCUCUUGGAGCGGCCGAUGUCGGAUUAGCUAGUUGGUGAGGUAGAGGCUCACCAAGGCGACGAUCCGUAGCAGGUCUGAGAGGAUGAUCUGCCACACUGGAACUGAGACACGGUCCAGACUCCUACGGGAGGCAGCAGUGGGGAAUUUUGGACAAGUGGGGGACAACCCUGAUCCAGCCAUGCCGCGUGAGUGAAG
RNAcentral lists this ribosomal RNA (403 nucleotides) under bacterium enrichment culture clone ALO1_GLFRUDD03FYAGG. Its description in RNAcentral is "bacterial SSU rRNA". It matches the Rfam family "Bacterial small subunit ribosomal RNA", at positions 9 to 410 of the family's 1533-position model. The record is from RNAcentral.